This 397-nucleotide ribosomal RNA is filed under the name uncultured bacterium. RNAcentral describes it as "partial 16S ribosomal RNA". It matches the Rfam family "Bacterial small subunit ribosomal RNA", at positions 360 to 775 of the family's 1533-position model. The record is from RNAcentral.
AAUAUGGCACAACGGGGGACACCCUGAUGCAGCGACGCCGCGGCAGCGAAGAAGGCGUUCGGGUCGUAAAGCUCUGUCCUAAGGGAAGAAACGGACGGUACUAUAGGAGGAAGCACCCGCUAACUACGUCCCAGCAGCCGCGGUAAUACGUAGGGGGCGAGCGUUAUCCGGAAGUAUUGGGCGUAAAGGGUGAGUAGGCGGCUUUUUAAGUCAGAGGUGAAAGGCUACGGCUUAACCGGAGUUAGCACUUGAAACUAAAAGGCUUGAGUGCAGGAGAGGAGAGUGGAAUUCCUAGUGUAGCGGUGAAAUGCGUAGAUAUUAGGAGGAACACCAGUGGCGAAGGCGACUCUCUGGACUGCAACUGACGCUGAGGCACGAAAGCGUGGGGAGCGAACAG